Molecule: ribosomal RNA, 554 nt
Filed under: Staphylococcus aureus
Lineage: Bacteria; Bacillati; Bacillota; Bacilli; Caryophanales; Staphylococcaceae
Description: partial 23S ribosomal RNA
Rfam family: Bacterial large subunit ribosomal RNA
Source: RNAcentral
CACUGCCGAGAAAAGCCUCUAGAUAGAAAAUAGGUGCCCGUACCGCAAACCGACACAGGUAGUCAAGAUGAGAAUUCUAAGGUGAGCGAGCGAACUCUCGUUAAGGAACUCGGCAAAAUGACCCCGUAACUUCGGGAGAAGGGGUGCUCUUUAGGGUUAACGCCCAGAAGAGCCGCAGUGAAUAGGCCCAAGCGACUGUUUAUCAAAAACACAGGUCUCUGCUAAACCGUAAGGUGAUGUAUAGGGGCUGACGCCUGCCCGGUGCUGGAAGGUUAAGAGGAGUGGUUAGCUUCUGCGAAGCUACGAAUCGAAGCCCCAGUAAACGGCGGCCGUAACUAUAACGGUCCUAAGGUAGCGAAAUUCCUUGUCGGGUAAGUUCCGACCCGCACGAAAGGCGUAACGAUUUGGGCACUGUCUCAACGAGAGACUCGGUGAAAUCAUAGUACCUGUGAAGAUGCAGGUUACCCGCGACAGGACGGAAAGACCCCGUGGAGCUUUACUGUAGCCUGAUAUUGAAAUUCGGCACAGCUUGUACAGGAUAGGUAGGAGCCUUU